ACCUCUCCUCUUUCUUUUGCUUUUCGUAAUCAGGGGCAAUGAUUUGCUUCCAUGACGCAUUGCAUUUCUCCAAGCUCUCCGCCACAGCGCGUGAAUCACUAUAGAAUCUUGUUGUUUAAACAAACCUACUGAGCUUUGAGCAUAAUUCUUUUCAAGGAAUUUUAAGUUAAUUUUUGUUCCAGAUCAAAAAUGAGAGUGGAUAAAACAACAGGAAAGGAUUGCAGGGAGAGGAAUCGGGCCGGGGAGAGGCGUGGUGCUUGUGGCGGAGGCGGAGCUUCGAUGAAGGAUGAUGGCUGUGGUUUACAGAGAUAACUGUUCCUAUUCUUCUUUUCUCUGUUUUUGUUUUUAUCUCAGAGAGAACUGGAUUUAGAUUAGCUAAAGCUUCACCUUUUAUUUUCAAAUAAAAUAAGUUAUUCGAGAG
RNAcentral lists this long non-coding RNA (421 nucleotides) under Populus trichocarpa (black cottonwood). RNAcentral describes it as "long non-coding RNA (PTRI_LNC002320)". The record is from RNAcentral. Lineage: Eukaryota; Viridiplantae; Streptophyta; Magnoliopsida; Malpighiales; Salicaceae.